AUUGAACGCUGGCGGCAGGCCUAACACAUGCAAGUCGAACGAGUGGCGGACGGGUGAGUAAUGUCUGGGAAACUGCCUGAUGGAGGGGGAUAACUAAUGGAAAAGGUAGCUAAUACCGCAUACCAUCAGAUGUGCCCAAAUGGGAUUGGCUAGUUGGUGGGGUAACGGCGCACCAAGGCGACGAUCCCUAGCUGGUCUGAGAGGAUGACCAGCCACACGGGAACUGAGACACGGUCCAGACUCCUACGGGAGGCAGCAGUGGGGAAUAUGGCACAAUGGGCGCAAGCCUGAUGCAGCCAUGCCGCGUGUAUGAAGAAGGCCUUCGGGUUGUAAAGUACUUUCAGCGGGGAGGCGUUACUCGCAGAAGAAGCACCGGCUAACUCCGUGCCAGCCGCCGCGGUAAUUC
RNAcentral lists this ribosomal RNA (406 nucleotides) under uncultured bacterium. Its description in RNAcentral is "partial 16S ribosomal RNA". It matches the Rfam family "Bacterial small subunit ribosomal RNA", at positions 30 to 526 of the family's 1533-position model. The record is from RNAcentral.